AGUGAACGCUGGCGGUAUGCCUAACACAUGCAAGUCGAACGACAGCACAGUAAGAGCUUGCGCUUACGGGUGUCGAGUGGCGGACGGGUGAGGAAUACAUCGAAAUCUACUUUUUCGUGGGUGAUAACGUAGGGAAACUUACUCUAAUACAGCAUACGACGUACUUGUGAAAGCAGGGGAUCUUCGGACCUUUUGCGAGGGUAUGAGCCUAUGUCGGAUUAGCUAGUUGGCGGGGUAAAGGGACACCAAGGCUACGAUCCGUAGAUGCUCUGAGAGCAUGAUUCGAUAGCUUGGCAGUGAGACACGGCAGACACACUUAGGGGAGGACGCAGUGGGGAAUAUUACGGGAGGCGGCAAAGGGUGAUACAGGACUAUCGGGUGAGUGAUGAAGGACUUAGGGUUGUAAAGCGAUGUAGUUGGGAAAGAAAAAAAGCACGUUUACCCCCGGCUGUUAUGACGGUACCGAAAGAAUAAGCUCCGGCUAACUCCGUG
This 492-nucleotide ribosomal RNA is filed under the name uncultured bacterium. Its description in RNAcentral is "partial 16S ribosomal RNA". It matches the Rfam family "Bacterial small subunit ribosomal RNA", at positions 29 to 507 of the family's 1533-position model. The record is from RNAcentral.